AGCUCCAAUAGCGUAUAUUAAAGUUGUUGCAGUUAAAAAGCUCGUAGUUGAAUUUUGGACUCGGCUGUUGUGGUCGGCCGCAUAGGUCUGUACUCUUCUGGCCGGGUCUUUCCUUCUGGAAAACCGUCAUGCCAUUCAUUUGGUGUGGCGGAGAUCCAGGACUUUUACCUUGAAAAAAUUAGAGUGUUUAAAGCAGGCAUACGCUUGAAUACAUUAGCAUGGAAUAAUAGAAUAGGACUUUGGUUCUAUUUUGUUGGUUUCUAGGACCGAAGUAAUGAUUAAUAGGGACAGUUGGGGGCAUUAGUAUUUAAUUGUCAGAGGUGAAAUUCUUGGAUUUAUGAAAGACUAACUUCUGCGAAAGCAUUUGCCAAGGAUGUUUUCA
Molecule: ribosomal RNA, 382 nt
Filed under: uncultured eukaryote
Lineage: Eukaryota
Description: SSU rRNA
Rfam family: Eukaryotic small subunit ribosomal RNA
Source: RNAcentral